Non-coding RNA from Manis javanica (Malayan pangolin), 1205 nucleotides. NCBI's taxonomy places the organism in Eukaryota, Metazoa, Chordata, Mammalia, Pholidota, Manidae. The record is from RefSeq and is a predicted model, not a curated record.
CUGACGUGUAAAAAGCAACUGGGGUUAAAAAUUGGGGGGAAAUCAGUAAAUUAUGGGACAGUUUCAAAGAAGAGUUUGGGGCAGAAACAUGGGUAUGUCAGAGAGAGAUGGAUAACAAGGGCUGCCUUGGAGAAGAAGAGAGAGGAAAACUGAAUUCUGCCUAAUUUGAGCAGGGGAAGUACAUAUGAUGCAAGUUUAGAAAACCACUGGGGCUCAGUUUCAGAAAGAUGUGAACCUUUCUCUCCGAUUAAUGGGGGUAGGCUGGGGUCAGGGAGUAAAUCUACAAAGGCCCAGUGUCCUGAGUUUGGGGCCUGGUUGGAAGGCACUGGAGAAACAGGGGGAGAGAUUAGGCCUUCAACAGAAGCUGGCUGGGCUGAGUUCUGUGAUCUGUCUUAAGAUGGGAUUCAGUUAAGAUGGUCGCACUAAGAGUAAAGAGGAGCUCCAGCUGUGAGAAGGUGUUUGUUUAAAGAGGUUAGUUUCCCCUCCACCUCCACAACUACUCACGGUCCAUGUCCAUCACCGGUCAGCUGGGCUUUCUGACCCACGCCAUCGUCACUCAGGGAUCCAGACUCCACCAUCUGAGAUGUCAUCAGUCACCAUGGAGAGAGAAGGGAAGAAAGGGAAUCAUAUGCUGGCUCUGAAGUGCUUCCACCCAGAAGAGACACAUUUUUGCUCAUAUCUCAUUGGCCAAAGCAAGUUGUAUGGCCACACCUAAUUUCUCAAAGGUGGGAAGGUACCUGGAAGAGAACAGGGAACACGGGUGAGCAGCACCACACCUUUCUGUUGUAAAACGGGAGACCAGUUGUGACAACAAAGGAAGAGGCACUGUCAGGCAGAGGAUCGUCCUUAUGGAAGAUGACACUCUGGAAACUCAUUCCCUUCAAAGUAACCCUGCCGCCUACCUUUAGAAAAAGCCUUUCUGUAUCUCUAAGGGUGCACAUGCCCCAGUGUGAAGACCACUGCUGGCUCUGCAGAGCCUUCCUAACUCUUUUAGACACUUUAGGUCCAGGGACCUCUGCCUGAGUUCCUGGGGUCAUUGUCGCAUUUGGAAGCUAUUGGGAGUUGGUUACCUUUUCAUAUCUGUGUGUGUCGUGUUUGCCUAGCAUGCUGCAGUGUCCUGAAGGUCGUUGCAAUCAUGUUUUCAAGUUUUUAUGACCCCACGCUAUCUAGCGAGGACAGUCAAAAAAUACAUGACUUCUGCUUGA